GAUGAACGCUGGCGGCGUGCCUAAUACAUGCAAGUCGAGCGAACAGAUGAGGAGCUUGCUCCUCUGACGUUAGCGGCGGACGGGUGAGUAACACGUGGAUAACCUACCUAUAAGACUGGGAUAACUUCGGGAAACCGGAGCUAAUACCGGAUAAUAUAUUGAACCGCAUGGUUCAAUAGUGAAAGACGGUUUCGCUGUCACUUAUAGAUGGAUCCGCGCCGCAUUAGCUAGUUGGUAAGGUAACGGCUUACCAAGGCGACGAUGCGUAGCCGACCUGAGAGGGUGAUCGGCCAAACUGGAAAUGAGACACGGUCCAGACUCCUACGGGAGGCAGCAGUAGGGAAUCUUCCGCAAUGGGAGAAAGCCUGACGGAGCAACGCCGCGUGAGUGAUGAAGGUCUUCGGAUCGUAAAACUCUGUUAUUAGGGAAGAACAAAUGUGUAAGUAACUAUGCACGUCUUGACGGUACCUAAUCAGAAAGCCACGGCUAACUACGUG
This 497-nucleotide ribosomal RNA is filed under the name uncultured bacterium. RNAcentral describes it as "partial 16S ribosomal RNA". It matches the Rfam family "Bacterial small subunit ribosomal RNA", at positions 28 to 507 of the family's 1533-position model. The record is from RNAcentral.